UUUACUUAUUACUUCAGUGAUUCAUGUACGAAAAUAAUACGAACAUCUGCAGGUUUUCGUGUUGAUUCCAUUACGCUUUGCAGCACUUCAAAUCAUUUUCCAAAACGAAUAUAAAAUACGAAGCACUCUGGCAGGAGUAUUCAGAUUAUAUCCAUCAUAUUUUGACUUCUAGACUAUCGGGCACUUCAACGCUAUGUCUCCUUAUUUCUCGAUGAAUUUUGAAUGGAUUAUCUUCGCGAGCUUGUUACUUUUUGUGAUCAUUCAAGUAGCUGCAAUACAGGGUCCAGGUGGCGGUGGUACCUGGGUUAAAAUAACUGAUGGUAAAGGCGGAGAAAUGUGGGUUCAACGAUAAUGACGACGAUAUGUAGGUACAGUAAAUUAUACCUUUUCACGUAAUUAAUCACGCACGCAAGUAUUCAUUAUUUUCUCACUCAAGAAGAUUCUCCUCUUACCACUAGUACCACGAGCCUAUCGAUGUAAAUAUUAUAAAUUAUUGUUAAAAUUCAAGUAUUAUUUUAAUAUCUCAAUAAGAUACCUAAGGUACAAAUAAAUCU
Long non-coding RNA from Planococcus citri (citrus mealybug), 554 nucleotides. RefSeq lists it as uncharacterized. The record is from RefSeq and is a predicted model, not a curated record. The transcript has 4 exons. Lineage: Eukaryota; Metazoa; Arthropoda; Insecta; Hemiptera; Pseudococcidae.